AUAACCCAAAUUCUUCAUAAAAAUAAACUCAACUUACACCGAGCAAAGACGGGUUGCUUGCAAAAACAUGGUUUCGAAGGCAUCAACACUUUCAUGCGUUCGCCUCCUUCAACUACUGCCCCUCCUCUUUUUUUUCAUUCUCCUCGUCACAACUCCAGGAUCUUUCGGUACACCGAGUUUGCUUGAAAAGAUGAGGCAUAGCGAGGACGAUCCGCUCGCCACCAUAAGCCAUGGAGGAGCUUUGGAAAACGCCCAUGACUUGGGGGCGAUGGAUUAUACUCCAGCUGGGCCAAGCCCUCCAGUCCAUAAUAACCCAAACUAAUAAGUGAAAAUUUAAAUAUUUUGUAA
This is a long non-coding RNA of Cucurbita pepo subsp. pepo (vegetable marrow), 348 nucleotides long. RefSeq lists it as uncharacterized. NCBI's taxonomy places the organism in Eukaryota, Viridiplantae, Streptophyta, Magnoliopsida, Cucurbitales, Cucurbitaceae. The record is from RefSeq and is a predicted model, not a curated record.